CGGCGGACGGGUGAGUAACACGUGGGUAACCUGCCUGUAAGACUGGGAUAACUCCGGGAAACCGGAGCUAAUACCGGAUAGUUCCUUGAACCGCAUGGUUCAAGGAUGAAAGACGGUUUCGGCUGUCACUUACAGAUGGACCCGCGGCGCAUUAGCUAGUUGGUGGGGUAAUGGCUCACCAAGGCGACGAUGCGUAGCCGACCUGAGAGGGUGAUCGGCCACACUGGGACUGAGACACGGCCCAGACUCCUACGGGAGGCAGCAGUAGGGAAUCUUCCGCAAUGGACGAAAGUCUGACGGAGCAACGCCGCGUGAGUGAUGAAGGUUUUCGGAUCGUAAAGCUCUGUUGUUAGGGAAGAACAAGUGCGAGAGUAACUGCUCGCACCUUGACGGUACCUAACCAAAAAGCCACGGCUAACUACGUGCCAGCAGCCGCGGUAAUACGUAGGUGGCAAGCGUUGUCCGGAAUUAUUGGGCGUAAAGGGCUCCCAGGCGGUUUCUUAAGUCUGAGGGGAAAGCCCCCGGCCCCACCGGGGGGGGUUCUUUUGGAAACUGGGAAACUUGAGGGCAAAAAAAGAAAAGUGGGAAUCUCCCCUUGUACCGGUGAAAUGCGUAAAAAUUUGGAGAAAACACCCCUGGCGAAGGGAACUCUCUUGGUCUGUAACUGACGCUGAAGGAGCGAAAGCGUGGGGGAGCGAACAGGAUUAAAAAACCCUUGGGAGUCCACGCCCUAAACAUGAUGAGUGGUAUUUUUUUAGGGUUUUUCCGCCCUUUUAGUGUUGCAGUUGAAGCAUUAAUCACUUCUCCUGGGAAGAAGGUUCCCAAUACUGAAAUUCAAAGGAAUUGACGGGGGCCCGCACAACCGGUGGAGCAUGUGGUUUAAUUUGAAGCAACUUGAAGACCCUUACCAGGUCUUGACAUUUUCUGACAACCCUAGAGAUGGGGCUUUCCCUUGGGGGACAGAGUGACAGGUGGUCCAUGCCCGUCCUCAGCUCUUGUUGUGAGAUGUUCGUUUAAGUCCCGCAACGAGCGCAACCCUUGAUCUUAGUUCCCAGCAUUCAGUUGGGCACUUUAAGGUGACUGCCGGUGCCAAACCGGAGGAAGGUGGGGAUGACGUCAAAUCAUCAUGCCCCUUAUGACCUGGGCUACACACGUGCUACAAUGGACAGAACAAAGGGCUGCAAGACCGCAAGGUUUAGCCAAUCCCAUAAAUCUGUUCUCAGUUCGGAUCGCAGUCUGCAACUCGACUGCGUGAAGCUGGAAUCGCUAGUAAUCGCGGAUCAGCAUGCCGCGGUGAAUACGUUCCCGGGCCUUGUACACUCCGCCCGUCACACCACGAGAGUUUGCAACACCCGAAUUCGGUGAGGUAGCCUUU
Molecule: ribosomal RNA, 1375 nt
Filed under: Bacillus pumilus
Lineage: Bacteria; Bacillati; Bacillota; Bacilli; Caryophanales; Bacillaceae
Description: 16S ribosomal RNA
Rfam family: Bacterial small subunit ribosomal RNA
Source: RNAcentral